GAUGAACGCUGGCGGCGUGCCUAAUACAUGCAAGUCGAGCGGACGGACGAGAAUCUUGCUUCUCUGAUGUUAGCGGCGGACGGGUGAGUAACACGUGGCUAACCUACCUUUAAGACUGGGAUAACUUAGAGAAACCGGAGAUAAUACCGAAUAAUAUUUUGAACCGCAUGGUUCAAAAGGGAGAGGCGGUCUUGCUGUCACUUAUAGAUGGUUCCGCGCUGCAUUAGCUAGUUGGUAAGGUGACGGCAUACCAAGGCAACGAUGCAUAGCAGACCUCAGAGGGUGAUCGGCCACACUGGAACUGGGACACGGUCCAGACCCCUACGGGAGGCAGCAGUAGGGAAGCGUCCGCAAUGGGCGAGAGCCUGAGGGAGCAACGCCGCGUGAGUGAUGAAGGUCUUCGGAUCGUAAAACUCUGUUAUUAGGGAAGAACAUAUGUGUAAGUAACUGUGCACAUCUUGACGGUACCUAAACAGAAAGCCACGGCUAACUACGUG
RNAcentral lists this ribosomal RNA (497 nucleotides) under uncultured bacterium. RNAcentral's name for it is "partial 16S ribosomal RNA". It matches the Rfam family "Bacterial small subunit ribosomal RNA", at positions 28 to 507 of the family's 1533-position model. The record is from RNAcentral.